This 941-nucleotide ribosomal RNA is filed under the name archaeon enrichment culture clone C4-29C-A. RNAcentral's name for it is "bacterial SSU rRNA". It matches the Rfam family "Archaeal small subunit ribosomal RNA", at positions 1 to 922 of the family's 1478-position model. The record is from RNAcentral.
UUCCGGUUGAUCCUGCCGGACCCCACUGCUAUCGGGAUAGGACUAAGACAUGCUAGUCGUGUGCCUCAGCCAAAACGAGGCACGGCGCACAGCUCAGUAACACGUGGCUAACCUGCCCUUAGGACGAGAAUAACCCCGGGAAACUGGGGCUAAUGCUCGAUAGGUGAAGAACUCUGGAAUGAGUCUUCACUUAAAAGAGUCUGCGUUAUGCUCGUAGAUUUCGCUUAAGGAUGGGGCCGCGACCGAUCAGGUUGUUGGUGAGGUAAUGGCUCACCAAGCCUUUUACCGGUGCGGGCCGUGAGAGCGGGAGCCCGGAGAUGGGCACUGAGACAAGGGCCCAGGCCCUACGGGGCGCAGCAGUCGCGAAAACUUUGCAAUACACGAAAGUGUGACAGGGCUAUCCCGAGUGCCAUCCGCUGAGGAAGGCUUUUACCCAGUCUAGAAAGCUGGGAGAAUAAGGAGAGGGCAAGUCUGGUGUCAGCCGCCGCGGUAAUACCAGCUCUCCGAGUGGUGUGGAUGUUUAUUGGGCCUAAAGCAUCCGUAGCUGGCUAAGUUAGUCCCCUGUUAAAUCCAACGAAUUAAUCGUUGGAUCGCGGGGGAUACUGCUUGGCUAGGGGACGAGAGAGGCAGACGGUAUUUCCGGGGUAGGGGUGAAAUCCUAUAAUCCCGGGAAGACCACCAGUGGCGAAGGCUGUCUGCUAGAACGCGCCCGACGGUGAGGGAUGAAAGCUGGGGGAGCGAACCGGAUUAGAUACCCGGGUAGUCCCAGCUGUAAACGAUGCAGGCUAGGUGUUUGGACGGCCACGUGCCGUUCUAGUGCCGCAGGGAAGCUGUUAAGCCUGCCGCCUGGGGAGUACGAUCGCAAGAUUGAAACUUAAAGGAAUUGGCGGGGGAGCACCACAAGGGGUGAAGCUUGCGGUUUAAUUGGAGUCAACGCCGGG